Molecule: ribosomal RNA, 208 nt
Filed under: uncultured fungus
Lineage: Eukaryota; Fungi
Description: 5.8S ribosomal RNA
Rfam family: 5.8S ribosomal RNA (bases 2-156)
About the family: 5.8S ribosomal RNA (5.8S rRNA) is a component of the large subunit of the eukaryotic ribosome. It is transcribed by RNA polymerase I as part of the 45S precursor that also contains 18S and 28S rRNA. Functionally, it is thought that 5.8S rRNA may be involved in ribosome translocation.
Source: RNAcentral
AAACUUUCAACAACGGAUCUCUUGGCUCCUGCAUCGAUGAAGAACGCAGCGAAAUGCGAUAAGCAAUGUGAAUUGCAGAAUUCAGUGAAUCAUCGAGUCUUUGAACGCACAUUGCGCCCUAUGGUUAUUCCGUAGGGCAUGCCCGUCUCAGCGUCAGAAGAAAACCCUCAGGCAAGGCUUUGAUGCCAUGCCUGGAUUGUGUCAGAGU